Molecule: long non-coding RNA, 1461 nt
Filed under: Nicotiana tabacum (common tobacco)
Lineage: Eukaryota; Viridiplantae; Streptophyta; Magnoliopsida; Solanales; Solanaceae
Description: long non-coding RNA (NTAB_LNC003358)
Source: RNAcentral
UAUCAAUAAACAUUGGAAAGUACGCAUAUGGAAUAACUACAUAAAUAUAUACAAGUUUUCUAUGUAGAAAUAAUAUACUCAUACGUACCUAUAACUUCAAGUAUAAAUAUUUUCAAACCAAAAAUCAAUAAAAAUUGCACCUAUAUUUUUUGUUAUACACAGGUUAAAGGAUUAAAAUAAAAAGAGAUAGUCCCAACAGCACAACAACAAAAUGCAAAAAAUUAUUCAUGUACUCGAAAAAAGAGUAUUUAACUGGUGAUGCUUUUUGGAGAUACUUCCUACUACCAAUUUUUCAUCAACUUUCUUCUUCUUUUUAAUGUAAACUUAUGUGUAUGUCUUUUAUCCGUAUGUUUUAUUCAUCACAUAAAUAUAAAGAACUUAACCUAAGUUUGAAUGAUUUAAUAGCAUUUGAAUAGAGUCUCUAUUUACUUAUGAUUAGAGGAAAAAUAACCCAUUUAUGGAAUUUUUAAAAUCCAAGAAACAUUACAAAUGAGUUUAUUAUACUAUUGUUCUCUGCACCACGUCAAAUCCAGAAAAUACAAUUUCUUCAUUUUAUUACAUAAAAAAACGACCAAUUUAAAUCAAUAUGAGAUGACCAAACACAAAAAGGGAAAAGGAAAAGUAAAUACACCGAGAGUCUUGUGUUAAGUUUAUCCCUUCAUGACUUGCUUCAUUACUAUCAAUCAUUCUCAUUGCGACGCAUCUUUUUAUCUUGUGCUUCAUCUUCAUAAAUAAAUUAAAGAAAAAAGUCAACUUUCACUAUUUUUAAUUAAAACUUAUAGUAAGCAGAACAUGUGAAAAAGAAAGAAAGCAAGAAAACCUUGAAGUUUAGAAAUUGGCAAUAAGAGCUUUGCCUUUAAUUUAUUCAUUUUGUACUUCCUCUGCAUCACACGAAACUAACCAGAGUAGUCAAUUUUCAUUAUUCUAAUUAAAAAUUAAAAAAUUAGUAUAAAGCCGAAUAUAUAUAAGAAAGAAAGCAGACCUUGAAGUUGCAAAAGUUUCAAAGAAACGCCUUCCAUUGAGAGAAGAAAGCAAUACAGUUUCGUUGAAUGUUAGGUGCGUUUAAAUAGGAACAAAGAAUGAUUAGAUAUCAGAACUGAUUGACUUUUGAAAUCUAGUGUUAAUGACCUUGUUAAAUACGGGAAGGGAAAAAGGACGUUUCGAAUAUUUGAAGAGCAGCCUUUGGUGAUGACUCUAUUCCAAAACGCAUGGAUAAAGUUGUAAUCUAAAGAAUAUGUAAGAUCAUAUCUUUUAGAGAAAAAGAAAUUAAUAACUACGGGAAAAAGUGAGAAAAAAUGCCAAAUAAAUGAGAGAAACGAUAAAUAGUAAUCCUAAUGCCAAAUAAAUGAGAGAAAAGAUAAAUAGUAAUCCUAGCUUAAGAGAGAUGUCAUGUCAACUUUCUUUUUCCCGCCUUUAUAUAUACUAUAUAGAUUGUUAGCAAUGCUUAUUGCCCUAUAGUUC